RNAcentral lists this long non-coding RNA (327 nucleotides) under Lathyrus oleraceus (garden pea). RNAcentral's name for it is "Pisum sativum (pea) long non-coding RNA (PSAT_LNC029452)". The record is from RNAcentral. Lineage: Eukaryota; Viridiplantae; Streptophyta; Magnoliopsida; Fabales; Fabaceae.
UCAAAUAAAAAGAAAGAAAAGGUGAAAGAAAUGGGUAUGGUUGCAAACAUAAAAAUGAGAGUGAACUAGCAAAUGAAGUGAAAAACCAAUGGGCCUAAAAUCUAUUACCAACAAAAGUCCAAUAUGUCAAAUUAAAUAAAAAUAGAAUAAAUAAAUAUUAUAAAAAACAAAAUAACACUAAACGAAACAACAAAGAAGAAGUAAUACAACAUCAAGUAGUGGCAGCGCAUGCUUUUUGAAAAACAUUUCAAAUUUAAAAAGCCAUGAAUGGCUACUCGACACGUGGCUUUAAACAGAAUAAAAAAACAACAAAGAAAAAGGUCUUCC